This 618-nucleotide ribosomal RNA is filed under the name uncultured bacterium. RNAcentral describes it as "bacterial SSU rRNA". It matches the Rfam family "Bacterial small subunit ribosomal RNA", at positions 202 to 842 of the family's 1533-position model. The record is from RNAcentral.
CAAAGGUGAGCCAGUACAGGAUGGACCCGCGUCUGAUUAGCUAGUUGGUAAGGUAACGGCUUACCAAGGCGACGAUCAGUAGCCGACCUGAGAGGGUGAUCGGCCACAUUGGAACUGAGACACGGUCCAAACUCCUACGGGAGGCAGCAGUGGGGAAUAUUGCACAAUGGGCGAAAGCCUGAUGCAGCAACGCCGCGUGAGUGAUGAAGGCCUUCGGGUCGUAAAACCCUGUCCUCAAGGAAGAUAAUGACGGUACUUGAGGAGGAAGCCCCGGCUAACUACGUGCCAGCAGCCGCGGUAAUACGUAGGGGGCUAGCGUUAUCCGGAUUUACUGGGCGUAAAGGGUGCGUAGGCGGUCUUUCAAGUCAGGAGUGAAAGGCUACGGCUCAACCGUAGUAAGCUCUUGAAACUGGGAGACUUGAGUGCAGGAGAGGAGAGUGGAAUUCCUAGUGUAGCGGUGAAAUGCGUAGAUAUUAGGAGGAACACCAGUUGCGAAGGCGGCUCUCUGGACUGUAACCGACGCUGAGGCACGAAAGCGUGGGGAGCAAACAGGAUUAGAUACCCUGGUAGUCCACGCUGUAAACGAUGAGUACUAGGUGUCGGGGGUUACCCCCUUCG